GUGGGGAAUCUUGCGCAAUGGGGGAAACCCUGACGCAGCGACGCCGCGUGGGUGAUGAAGGCCUUCGGGUUGUAAAGCCCUGUGGGGAGAGACGAAUAAGUUUGGUCAAAUAGGCCGAAUGAUGACGGUAUCUCCUUAGCAAGCACCGGCUAACUCUGUGCCAGCAGCCGCGGUAAGACAGAGGGUGCAAACGUUGUUCGGAAUGACUGGGCGUAAAGCGUAUGUAGGCGGUCUUGUAGGUCGGAUGUGAAAUCCCUUGGCUCAACCAAGGAAGUGCAUUCGAAACCACGAGACUUGAGUGCCUGAGAGGAAGGUGGAAUUCUCGGUGUAGAGGUGAAAUUCGUAGAUAUCGAGAGGAACACCCGUGGCGAAAGCGGCCUUCUGGAAGAGCACUGACGCUGAGAUACGAAAGCAUGGGGAGCAAACAGGAUUAGAUACCCGUGUAGUCC
This 449-nucleotide ribosomal RNA is filed under the name uncultured bacterium. Its description in RNAcentral is "bacterial SSU rRNA". It matches the Rfam family "Bacterial small subunit ribosomal RNA", at positions 354 to 796 of the family's 1533-position model. The record is from RNAcentral.